This 1430-nucleotide ribosomal RNA is filed under the name biogas fermenter metagenome. Its description in RNAcentral is "bacterial LSU rRNA". It matches the Rfam family "Bacterial large subunit ribosomal RNA", at positions 545 to 1999 of the family's 2925-position model. The record is from RNAcentral.
AGAACCUGAAACUGUAUGCUUACAAUUAGCUGGAGCCCGUUAAGGGGUGACAGCGUGCCUAUUGCAGAAUGAACCGGCGAGUUAUGAUAUGUAGCGAGGUUAAGUUUGGAGGAACAGAGCCGCAGGGAAACCGAGUGUUAAGAGCGCGAACUAGUUACAUGUUGUAGACCCGAAACCAGGUGAUCUAGCCAUGAGCAGGUUGAAGUCUAUGUAAGAGUAGAUGGAGGACCGAACGAAUGAAUGUUAAAAAAUUCUUCGAUGACUUGUGGCUAGGGGUGAAAAGCCAAACGAACCUGGAGAUAGCUGGUUCUCCCCGAAAUAGCUUUAGGGCUAGCGUUAGCAGAAGAAAUUUAUGAAGGUAGAGCACUGAAUGUGUGAGGGCCACACCUCGUGGUACUGAUCCCAAAUAAACUCCGAAUGUCAUAAAUGGAUAGCUAGCAGUCAGACACUGGGUGAUAAGGUCCAGAGUCGAGAGGGAAACAGCCCAGACCGCCAGAUAAGGUCCCGAAAUAGAUGCUAAGUGGCAAAGGAAGUGGGGGCGCACAAACAGCUAGGAGGUUGGCUUAGAAGCAGCCACCCUUUAAAGAGUGCGUAAUAGCUCACUAGUCGAGUGCACCUGCGCCGAAAAUGUACCGGGGCUAAGCAUCAUACCGAAGCUGCGGAUUUAGGAGUUAACUCUUAAGUGGUAGGGGAGCGUUCUAGAGUGAAGAAGUAUGACCGUAAGGACAUAUGGAGCUACUAGAAGUGAUAAUGCCGGUGUAAGUAACGAAAAGAGAGGUGAGAAUCCUCUCCGUCGAAAACCCAAGGAUUCUAGGGGAAGGUUCGUCCGCCCUAGGUAAGUCGGGCCCUAAGGUGAGUCCGGAAGGAGUAGCCGAUGGAUAUCAGGUAGAAAAUCCUGAACUAGUGUAUAGACAGAAGGAGUGACAGAGGAGGCUAGGCUUCGCCUUUAAAUGUCUUAAGGUCGAGAUAGCGAUGCAGGCGUGUAGGCAAAUCCGCAUGCCGAUAGGAGUAGCUAUGAUAGGUAAAGGAGUACGAUGUCAGACUCUCAAGAAAAGCUUCUAUGGUUAAUCUAUGCACUACCCGUACCGUAAACCGACACAGGUAGGAGGGUAGAAUAUAUUAAGACGCGCGAGAAAACUCUUGUUAAGGAACUCGGCAAAAUGACCCCGUAACUUCGGGAUAAGGGGGGCUCUUAAUGGAAAAGGAGAGCCGCAGAGAAAAGGCCCAAGCGACUGUUUAUCAAAAACACAGGUCUCUGCAAAAUCGAAAGAUGAAGUAUAGAGGCUGACGCCUGCCCGGUGCUGGAAGGUUAAGAGGAGAUGUUAGGCAACGAAGCAUUGAAUUGAAGCCCCAGUAAACGGCGGCCGUAACUAUAACGGUCCUAAGGUAGCGAAAUUCCUUGUCGGGUAAGUUCCGACCCGCACGAAAGG